AUUCUCUUUAAUAAUACAAAUAGGCUUCUUAUACAUGAAAAAGACUCAGAAUUUCUUUCAUUCUUUUAAAGAAAAUCAUUUUUUUUUCACAAAUCCGAAUUGGCAGCUGAAAAAUUUUCUUUAUGAAAACCUUACUUGUAAUUUCAUUUAGUGUAUCGCGUAAAAUAAAGUUAAAGAAAAAAAAAUAUUCUUAUAAAAAUUAGAAAAUAAGAUGAGCAUUCUUUUCAUGCAACUAUCGUUCUGAUAGAAAAUGGAGGCAUGGUGUUUUUGUCAUUUUGCCAGAAGGCUAAAAAGUAUCAUCACCUUUCAAUACAAAAGUAUUCUUUUUCCUCGCAGGUGGAACGAUUUCAGUUGUUUUAACAUUGAUAAAAAUGCCAGUUAAUCGCUUCUGGUUGGUGUGUUUGUUUGUAGAAUUUGUUCAAAGUUCUUUUGAUUCCGAGAAAUGCUGUUUCCGGCUCGAGACCCGAUUCCACUGAAGAACCGUCGUGUUAGCGGGCCUGGUGUAUGCCAAACCCACCGGAGCCAAAGUCCUCUCGCUGGUGUGCCGUAGAAGCUUGGAGAGGGAGUGCCAGCCCAGGCGACCGCCCUGCCACCACUAAACGAGGCAGCAUCGACAGGAUUUGUUGUGGCCGAUUGCUGUUUUUAACAUAACUCAUCCAUAUUACAGACAAAUUCUCCGAACUGGUAUCCUCUCCGAAGCAGUUGGUCCUAAGCCACAGGUGGUCAAUCCCUGACCUUUCUUCUAAUCUUCCCCUACAUUUGUCAUCACGUUUAAAGACCAGCAGAUCAACACUUUGAGAAAACCUUCUUGAAAUUCUCUGUUUUUCUCCAAAUGCUGUGACAAUAUACUGUUGUCGAAAACAUACCACAAUCAAUUUAUUGUAAAACUAGCCGCCUUUGGCGACCAGCCGGUUCGCCAGCAUUACCGCUCGCUACAAUUUUCAGUUAAAUAUUUUAAGUAACUGGUCUCUUAAUAGAUUCUCAAACAAAACAUUUUUAAUCUUUAAAUUUUGAUAGUCAUA
This is a long non-coding RNA of Argiope bruennichi, 1022 nucleotides long. RefSeq lists it as uncharacterized. The transcript is spliced from 3 exons. The record is from RefSeq and is a predicted model, not a curated record. NCBI's taxonomy places the organism in Eukaryota, Metazoa, Arthropoda, Arachnida, Araneae, Araneidae.